UCGAACGAGAAGCAGGCAGUUGAUCUCUUCGGAGUGAUCCGGCCUGUGGACAGUGGCGUACGGGUGAGUAACGCGUGGGUAACCUGCCUCCAAGACGGGGACAACACAGGGAAACUUGUGCUAAUCCCCGAUAGCCUACCGGCACAGAGGUGCCGGCUAGUAAAGGCUUCGGCCGCUUGGAGAUGGGCCCACGUCUCAUUAGCUAGUUGGUGAGGUAACGGCUCACCAAGGCGACAAUGGGUAGCCGGUCUGAGAGGAUGGUCGGCCACACUGGAGCUGAGAAUGAUCCAGACUCCUACGGGAGUUAGCAUCAGGGAAUCUUGCACAAUGAGCGAAAGCUUGAUGCAGCGACGCCGCGUGUGUGAUGAAGGCCCUAGGGUCGUAAAGCACUGUCAGGAGGGAUGAAUGCCACGCCUAUGGCGUGGAGCGACACUACCUCCAGAGGAAGCCCCGGCUAACUACGUGCCAGCAGCCGCGGUAAAACGUAGGGGGCCAGCGUUGUCCGGAAUUACUGGGC
RNAcentral lists this ribosomal RNA (517 nucleotides) under uncultured bacterium. RNAcentral's name for it is "bacterial SSU rRNA". It matches the Rfam family "Bacterial small subunit ribosomal RNA", at positions 42 to 559 of the family's 1533-position model. The record is from RNAcentral.